AUCCUCAUUUUGAGGUUUUGUAGAUUUAAUAUCAAUCCUCCUGCCACCUGAGCCGGUGGGAUUUUCCAUUUCUUUUGCAGCUCGGGACUCUCACCACUCGCUGUGAAUCAUGUGCUGUGGAAUUCACAGUCAGCAGACCUCAGAUGACCUGGACACCUUGGGGAGAUUUCAGACGGCCAAAUCUGUCGCAAGAGCAGGGAAGCUGUUCUGGUCUUUGUGGUGGAGCAACAAAUCGUACCGACGCUGUUCCCACAACUUGUCACCUGUAUUUACAUCUGAAAGGGUGAUAAAGAGCAACCCGCACCGUAAACAGAAAAUAAACAAAAUAAUCUGUAUUUUAUGGAA
Stegastes partitus (bicolor damselfish) is the source of this 345-nucleotide long non-coding RNA. RefSeq lists it as uncharacterized. Lineage: Eukaryota; Metazoa; Chordata; Actinopteri; Pomacentridae. The transcript is spliced from 2 exons. The record is from RefSeq and is a predicted model, not a curated record.